AUUGAACGCUGGCGGCAGGACUAACACAUGCAAGUCGAACGGUAGCACAGAGAGCUUGCUCUCGGGUGACGAGUGGCGGACGGGUGAGUAAUGUCUGGGAAACUGCCCGAUGGAGGGGGAUAACUACUGGAAACGGUAGCUAAUACCGCAUAACGUCUACGGACCAAAGUGGGGGACCUUCGGGCCUCACACCAUCGGAUGUGCCCAGAUGGGAUUAGCUAGUAGGUGGGGUAAUGGCUCACCUAGGCGACGAUCCCUAGCUGGUCUGAGAGGGUGACCAGCCACACUGGAACUGUGACACGGUCCAGACUCCUACGGGAGGCAGCAGUGGGGAAUAUUGCACAAUGGGCGCAAGCCUGAUGCAGCCAUGCCGCGUGUAUGAGGAAGGCCUUCGGGUUGUAAAGUACUUUCAGCGGGGAGGAAGGGUUGCUGGUUAAUAACCAGCGACAUUGACGUUACCCUCAGAAGAAGCACCGGCUAACUCCGUGCCAGCAGCCGCAGUAA
Molecule: ribosomal RNA, 504 nt
Filed under: uncultured bacterium
Lineage: Bacteria
Description: partial 16S ribosomal RNA
Rfam family: Bacterial small subunit ribosomal RNA
Source: RNAcentral